UGCCCCAUGGCUGAGUUGGUUACAGCGUCCGACUGUUAUCCUUUCUCCCACCUUGGAAAGCUAUAUACAUCGGAAGGUCGUGAGUUCGAGCCUCACUGGGGCAG
Molecule: non-coding RNA, 104 nt
Organism: Stereum hirsutum FP-91666 SS1
Lineage: Eukaryota; Fungi; Basidiomycota; Agaricomycetes; Russulales; Stereaceae
Source: Rfam